GACGAACGCUGGCGGCGUGCUUAACACAUGCAAGUCGAACGGAAAGGCCCUGCUUUUGUGGGGUGCUCGAGUGGCGAACGGGUGAGUAACACGUGAGUAACCUGCCCUUGACUUUGGGAUAACUUCAGGAAACUGGGGCUAAUACCGGAUAGGAGCUCCUGCUGCAUGGUGGGGUGAAGUUUCGGCGUUGGGAUGGACUCGCGGCUUAUCAGCUUGUUGGUGGGGUAGUGGCUUACCAAGGCUU
RNAcentral lists this ribosomal RNA (244 nucleotides) under uncultured Actinomycetes bacterium. Its description in RNAcentral is "uncultured actinobacterium partial 16S ribosomal RNA". It matches the Rfam family "Bacterial small subunit ribosomal RNA", at positions 28 to 276 of the family's 1533-position model. Lineage: Bacteria; Bacillati; Actinomycetota; Actinomycetes. The record is from RNAcentral.